UCUCUCUCUCUCUACCCUCGAGCCUCAGCCUAGGGUUUCCGUUUUCCUCACCAUCGCGCUCCUCUCUCUCUGUCAUCCUUCCUCCCCAAACCCAUUCCAGAGAUCGAAGAGAAAACGGAAUGCAGCCAUCUAUUUAACCACUACGAUUACCCACAUCUCUUGCUUCCAUUCCUAUCUUUUUCUUUCUUUCUUUCCAGAAACAUCACUCGCCAGCACUUCAUAGAGACAGAGAAACAAACAGGAAGGUGGGUGAUGGCCAAGACCAAGCCCGGGAAGAAGGACCUCGAUUCCUACACCAUCAAAGGCACCAACAAGGUCGUCAAAGUGGGGGACUGCGUGCUGAUGAGGCCGUCGGACUCGGACAAGCCGCCGUACGUGGCGCGGGUGGAGAAGAUCGAGGCGGACCACCGGAACAACGUGAGGGUGCGGGUGAGGUGGUACUACCGGCCGGAGGAGUCGAUCGGGGGGCGGCGCCAGUUCCACGGGGCCAAGGAGCUCUUCCUCUCCGACCAUUACGACGUCCAGAGCGCCCACACCAUCGAGGGGAAGUGCACCGUCCACUCCUUCAAGAACUACACCAAGCUCGAGAACGUCGGCGCCGAGGACUACUUCUGCCGCUUCGAGUACAAGGCCGCCACCGGCGGCUUCACCCCCGACCGCGUCGCAGUGUACUGCAAGUGCGAGAUGCCUUACAACCCGGACGACCUCAUGGUCCAAUGCGAGGGAUGCAAAGACUGGUUUCAUCCAUCUUGUAUGGGUAUGAGUAUUGAACAGGCAAAAAAAUUAGAUCACUUUCUCUGUUCAGAUUGUAACUCUGAAGAUGAUGCAAAGAGAUCUCUAAAUGGUUAUCCUGCCUCGCCAAUCUCAGAGCCUAAGGAUCGGGGUUGUAUCUUUCAUGCGAAAGAAUGAUUCAUCAUCCUUCAUGCGAAUCCACCAUUGGGUCCUUAUUUCGCAGAUCAGAAAGUGCUCUGAACUCCAUCAUUCAUCCACCUGCGCAGCUCUCAAAGCAACCAGCGGAUGAUCCAUGAUGGACUUGUGGAAGGAAGGUUGAAUCAAAAAGGCGGAAGAGGUGAGUUGAUGCUGUAGAGUUUCUCAUGAGGUAUGCAUUUAAUGGCACGGUAGCGCUUUUCUUCAUUGUUGGUGACAUGAAAAUGUACAGUGCAGGGAACAGACUGCUUGCAGAGUCUUGAGUCAGUUAUUUUAUGUUAAAACUGUUAUGAAUGUAAAUUUGAUACAUUCCAGGUCUUGAUGUGGUGUGCAAGAUCUUGUUCACUCUUGCGUAUGAGAAACCAAAAGGACAAAGUGCCUAAGUGCUGUUGCUUGUAUUGUGCUUGCUGUCACCAUAUAUAUAUUUUAGUUAAUAUCGAUGCCAUGACUAAUGGUGGUUUUGCCAUGGAAA
RNA transcript from Elaeis guineensis (African oil palm), 1399 nucleotides. It is a transcript of the gene named chromatin remodeling protein EBS, with no coding region annotated. NCBI's taxonomy places the organism in Eukaryota, Viridiplantae, Streptophyta, Magnoliopsida, Arecales, Arecaceae. The record is from RefSeq and is a predicted model, not a curated record.